AUGCAAGUCGAGCGGUAGAGAGAAGCUUGCUUCUCUUGAGAGCGGCGGACGGGUGAGUAAUGCCUAGGAAUCUGCCUGGUAGUGGGGGAUAACGUUCGGAAACGGACGCUAAUACCGCAUACGUCCUACGGGAGAAAGCAGGGGACCUUCGGGCCUUGCGCUAUCAGAUGAGCCUAGGUCGGAUUAGCUAGUUGGUGAGGUAAUGGCUCACCAAGGCGACGAUCCGUAACUGGUCUGAGAGGAUGAUCAGUCACACUGGAACUGAGACACGGUCCAGACUCCUACGGGAGGCAGCAGUGGGGAAUAUUGGACAAUGGGCGAAAGCCUGAUCCAGCCAUGCCGCGUGUGUGAAGAAGGUCUUCGGAUUGUAAAGCACUUUAAGUUGGGAGGAAGGGCAUUAACCUAAUACGUUAGUGUUUUGACGUUACCGACAGAAUAAGCACCGGCUAACUCUGUGCCAGCAGCCGCGGUAAUACAGAGGGUGCAAGCGUUAAUCGGAAUUACUGGGCGUAAAGCGCGCGUAGGUGGUUUGUUAAGUUGGAUGUGAAAUCCCCGGGCUCAACCUGGGAACUGCAUUCAAAACUGACUGACUAGAGUAUGGUAGAGGGUGGUGGAAUUUCCUGUGUAGCGGUGAAAUGCGUAGAUAUAGGAAGGAACACCAGUGGCGAAGGCGACCACCUGGACUAAUACUGACACUGAGGUGCGAAAGCGUGGGGAGCAAACAGGAUUAGAUACCCUGGUAGUCCACGCCGUACACGAUGUCAACUAGCCUUUGGGAGCCUUGAGCUCUUAGUGGCGCAGCUUACGCAUUAAGUUGACCGCCUGGGGAGUACGGCC
Molecule: ribosomal RNA, 837 nt
Filed under: Pseudomonas sp.
Lineage: Bacteria; Pseudomonadati; Pseudomonadota; Gammaproteobacteria; Pseudomonadales; Pseudomonadaceae
Description: bacterial SSU rRNA
Rfam family: Bacterial small subunit ribosomal RNA
Source: RNAcentral